Molecule: long non-coding RNA, 834 nt
Organism: Sitodiplosis mosellana (orange wheat blossom midge)
Lineage: Eukaryota; Metazoa; Arthropoda; Insecta; Diptera; Cecidomyiidae
Exons: 3
Source: RefSeq, a predicted model, not a curated record
GAUCUGUUGAUAAUUAGAGGGUAUUUCAUCAUAUUUCGAGUUAUAAUUCAUUUGGGUUUUAUUUUUAAAUAUGCGAAUGUUUGCAAGAAUUUGCCUGAAAUGAUCCUGUUUCAAUUGUUUAACAUGCACACAGUUACCCAUUCCAAUGAAAACUUGAAUCGACAGGCAAAACGAAUUUAAUUAUGAAAAUAUAACUCUUCUAGCUUAUCAGUGUUUGUUUAUUUGCAGAUUGAGGCAAUGGUACAACAAAUUAAUUGUUGUCCCAUUCGCUUCCAUACGAAAGGCAUACUCUUUAUUGAUAUUGAAACACUCCUGAAACUUUCGCGAUUGGUCGUCACUUGCGUUUUGUUAUUCAUACAAUUCACACAAAUGUACUGAUCACCCGAAAAGCUAGGUUGUUUUGCUCAUGGCGAAUGUAAUGGCCGAUGACAUCUUUUCAUCCAAUUAAUUGAAAAAUGCACUAAUAAACCACCAUAGGGUGACAGCAUCAACAAAAUUCAAAUUGGCGCGCUGUUUAGUUCAGAAAAAAUUACGAAAUUACAUUGAUUUGCCUAUUGAAAUUGAGGGCGCUUGCGUCGCCACAAUUCUCAUUUAAGUUAUUUUCGGUCUAAGCUGCGACCCCGUUGUAAACGACUAGCAUUACUAGCAAAAAAUAAUAUUUCAUUUGUAUGAAAAUUCAAAUGUAUCCUAUAAAACACUUGUUAAGAUUCAAGUGUGAAACAAUCAAUGUGUAUUACGUUCGAUGACUCACAAUCAUAUAUCAGGCAACUUUUUUGGAAGCUAAAAAAUAUCAUUUGUGAGUGUAUUGAAUAAUUCAGUCUACAAAAAUGAAAG